This 547-nucleotide ribosomal RNA is filed under the name Alternaria sp. HL1028S. RNAcentral's name for it is "eukaryotic LSU rRNA". The stretch from base 170 to 323 matches the Rfam family "5.8S ribosomal RNA". The record is from RNAcentral. Lineage: Eukaryota; Fungi; Ascomycota; Dothideomycetes; Pleosporales; Pleosporaceae.
AAGGAACCGGAUAGCAGGCGGGCUGGACCUCUCGGGGUUACAGCCUUGCAUGAAUUAUUCACCCUUGUCUUUUGCGUACUUCUUGUUUCCUUGGUGGGUUCGCCCACCACUAGGACAAACAUAAACCUUUUGUAAUUGCAAUCAGCGUCAGUAACAAAUUAAUAAUUACAACUUUCAACAACGGAUCUCUUGGUUCUGGCAUCGAUGAAGAACGCAGCGAAAUGCGAUAAGUAGUGUGAAUUGCAGAAUUCAGUGAAUCAUCGAAUCUUUGAACGCACAUUGCGCCCUUUGGUAUUCCAAAGGGCAUGCCUGUUCGAGCGUCAUUUGUACCCUCAAGCUUUGCUUGGUGUUGGGCGUCUUGUCUCUAGCUUUGCUGGAGACUCGCCUUAAAGUAAUUGGCAGCCGGCCUACUGGUUUCGGAGCGCAGCACAAGUCGCACUCUCUAUCAGCAAAGGUCUAGCAUCCAUUAAGCCUUUUUUUCAACUUUUGACCUCGGAUCAGGUAGGGAUACCCGCUGAACUUAAGCAUAUCAAUAAGCGGGAGAGAA